This 497-nucleotide ribosomal RNA is filed under the name uncultured bacterium. RNAcentral's name for it is "partial 16S ribosomal RNA". It matches the Rfam family "Bacterial small subunit ribosomal RNA", at positions 28 to 507 of the family's 1533-position model. The record is from RNAcentral.
GAUGAACGCUGGCGGCGUGCCUAAUACAUGCAAGUCGAACGAACAGACGAGGAGCUUGCUCGUCUGACGUUAGCGGCGGACAGGUGAGUAGCACGUGGAUAACAUACCUCUAAGACUGGGAUAACUUCCGGAAACCGGAGCUAAUACCGGAUAAUAUAUUGAACCGCAUGGUUCAAGAGUGAGAGACGGAUUUGCUGUCACUUAUAGAUGGGUCCGCGCCGCAUUAGCUAGUUGGUAAGGUAACGGCUUAGCAAGGCAACGAUGCGUAGGCGACCUGAGGGGGGGAUCGGCCACACUGGAACUGAGACACGGUCCAGACUCCUACGGGAGGCAGCAGUAGGGAAUCUUCCGCAAUGGGCGGAAGCCUGACGGAGCACCGCCGCGUGAGUGAAGAAGGUCUUCGGAUCGUAAAGUGCUGUUAUUUGGGAAGAACAAAUGUGUAAGUAACUAUGCGCGUCUUGACGGUACCUAAACAGAAAGCCCCGGCUAACUACGUG